Mauremys reevesii (Reeves's turtle) is the source of this 295-nucleotide long non-coding RNA. RefSeq lists it as uncharacterized. The record is from RefSeq and is a predicted model, not a curated record. NCBI's taxonomy places the organism in Eukaryota, Metazoa, Chordata, Testudines, Geoemydidae. The transcript has 3 exons.
CCGCUCACCUCAUGCGAUGGAAAGUGAGUUAGAGCGAUGAGAUAGCAAGCAUUACUGAUGCCAGUUUGCAGAGGAAUUGUCCAGGAGCUGGAGCCGGAGGAGAAACUGGAAGAAGUGAACCUGAACAGCCUGGAUAUCCUUGUAAGCAGAGAUGAAGAGUCCUCAGCUUUCUGCCUUCUCCAUGACUGGCUUACCACGGAGAAAGAAGUGAAGGGUAAGAGCCCACCCCAAUUGUGAGAUGGAAGGCGCCCAAGAGCCGUGAGACAGUGAGCGUUGUUGAUUCCAGGCUAUGCAG